Molecule: ribosomal RNA, 443 nt
Filed under: uncultured bacterium
Lineage: Bacteria
Description: partial 16S ribosomal RNA
Rfam family: Bacterial small subunit ribosomal RNA
Source: RNAcentral
CCUACGGGAGGCUGCAGUGGGGAAUAUUGGACAAUGGGGGGAACCCUGAUCCAGCGACGCCGCGUGAGUGAAGAAGUAUUUCGGUAUGUAAAGCUCUAUCAGCAGUGAAGAAAGAAAUGACGGUAUCUGACUAAGAAGCGCCGGCUAACUACGUGCCAGCAGCCGCGGUAAUACGUAGGGGGCAAGCGUUAUCCGGAUUUACUGGGUGUAAAGGGAGCGUAGACGGCGAUGCAAGUCUGAAGUGAAAGGCGGGGGUCCAACCCCCGGACUGCUUUGGAGACUGUGUGGCUGGAGUGCAGGAGAGGAAAGUGGAAUACCUAGUGUAGAGGUGAAAUGCGUAGAUAUUAGGUGGAACACCAGUGGCGAAGGCGGCUUACUGGACUUUAACUGACGUUGAGGCUCGAAAGCAUGGGGAGCAAACAGGAUUAGAUACCCUUGUAGUC